RNAcentral lists this ribosomal RNA (253 nucleotides) under uncultured bacterium. RNAcentral describes it as "partial 16S ribosomal RNA". It matches the Rfam family "Bacterial small subunit ribosomal RNA", at positions 524 to 776 of the family's 1533-position model. The record is from RNAcentral.
UACAGAGGUCCCAAGCGUUGUUCGGAUUCACUGGGCGUAAAGGGCGCGUAGGCGGUCGGGUAAGUCUGACGUGAAAUCUUCAAGCUUAACUUGGAAACUGCGUCGGAUACUAUUCGGCUAGAGGAAUGGAGGGGAGACUGGAAUACUUGGUGUAGCAGUGAAAUGCGUAGAUAUCAAGUGGAACACCAGUGGCGAAGGCGGCUGCCUGGCCCAAUACUGACACUCAGGUGCGACAGCGUGGGGAGCAAACAGG